GGAUCUGCCGAAUGGAGGGGGACAACAGUUGGAAACGACUGCUAAUACCGCAUAAUGUCGCGAGACCAAAGCAUGGGACCUUAGGGCCAUGCGCCAUUUGAUGAACCCAUAUGGGAUUAGCUAGUAGGUGAGGUAAUGGCUCACCUAGGCGACGAUCUCUAGCUGGCCUGAGAGGAUGACCAGCCACACUGGGACUGAGACACGGCCCAGACUCCUACGGGAGGCAGCAGUGGGGAAUAUUGCACAAUGGGGGAAACCCUGAUGCAGCCAUGCCGCGUGUAUGAAGAAGGCCUUCGGGUUGUAAAGUACUUUCGGUAGCGAGGAAGGGGUUAUAUCUAAUAGGUGUAACCAUUGACGUUAACUACAGAAGAAGCACCGGCUAACUCCGUGCCAGCAGCCGCGGUAAUACGGAGGGUGCGAGCGUUAAUCGGAAUGACUGGGCGUAAAGGGCAUGUAGGCGGAUAGUUAAGUUAGGUGUGAAASCCCCGGGCUCAACCUGGRAAUUGCAUUUAAAACUGGUUAUCUGGAGUAUUG
RNAcentral lists this ribosomal RNA (534 nucleotides) under uncultured bacterium. Its description in RNAcentral is "bacterial SSU rRNA". It matches the Rfam family "Bacterial small subunit ribosomal RNA", at positions 121 to 651 of the family's 1533-position model. The record is from RNAcentral.